CCUACGGGAGGCAGCAGUGGGGAAUAUUGGGCAAUGGGCGCAAGCCUGACCCAGCAACGCCGCGUGAAGGAAGAAGGCUUUCGGGUUGUAAACUUCUUUUAUGAGGGACGAAGAAAGUGACGGUACAUCAGGAAUAAGCCACGGCUAACUACGUGUCAGCAGCCGCGGUAAUACGAAGGUGGCAAGAGUUAUCCGGAUUUAUUGGGUGGAAAGGGAGUGUAGGGGGGAAAGCAAGUCAGAUGUGAAAACUCAGGGCUCAACCCUGCGCCUGCAGUUGAAACUGUUUUUCUUGAGUGCUGGAGAGGCGAUCGGAAUUCCGUGUGUAGCGGUGAAAUGCGUAGAUAUACGGAGGAACACCAGUGGCGAAGGCGGAUUGCUGGACAGUAACUGACGCUGAGGCGCGAAAGCGUGGGGAGCAAACAGGAUUAGAUACCCCUGUAGUC
Molecule: ribosomal RNA, 443 nt
Filed under: uncultured bacterium
Lineage: Bacteria
Description: partial 16S ribosomal RNA
Rfam family: Bacterial small subunit ribosomal RNA
Source: RNAcentral